GAUGAACGCUGGCGGCGUGCCUAAUACAUGCAAGUCGAGCGAACAGACGAGGAGCUUGCUCCUCUGACGUUAGCGGCGGACGGGUGAGUAACACGUGGAUAACCUACCUAUAAGACUGGGAUAACUUCGGGAAACCGGAGCUAAUACCGGAUAACAUGUUGAACCGCAUGGUUCAACAGUGAAAGACGGUCUUGCUGUCACUUAUAGAUGGAUCCGCGCCGCAUUAGCUAGUUGGUAAGGUAACGGCUUACCAAGGCAACGAUGCGUAGCCGACCUGAGAGGGUGAUCGGCCACACGGGAACUUGGACACGGUCCAGGCGCCUGCGGGAGGCAGCAGUAGGGAAUCUGCCGCAAUGGGCGAAAGCCUGACGGAGCGACGCCGCGUGAGUGAAGAAGGUCUUCGGAGCGUAAAACUCUGUUAUUAGGGAAGAACAAAUGUGUAAGUAACUAUGCACGUCUUGACGGUACCGAAUCAGAAAGCCACGGCUAACUACGUG
This 497-nucleotide ribosomal RNA is filed under the name uncultured bacterium. Its description in RNAcentral is "partial 16S ribosomal RNA". It matches the Rfam family "Bacterial small subunit ribosomal RNA", at positions 28 to 507 of the family's 1533-position model. The record is from RNAcentral.